GCUGUCGUAGCUCAGGGGUAGAGCACCUCAUUGGUAAUGAGGAGGUCGGUGGUUCAAUUCCACCCGGCAGCACCA
Molecule: transfer RNA, 75 nt
Filed under: Alphaproteobacteria bacterium
Lineage: Bacteria; Pseudomonadati; Pseudomonadota; Alphaproteobacteria
Also listed under: 1 other name
Description: tRNA-Thr
Rfam family: tRNA
About the family: Transfer RNA (tRNA) molecules are approximately 80 nucleotides in length.
Source: RNAcentral